AGUCGUAACAAGGUCUCCGUUGGUGAACCAGCGGAGGGAUCAUUACCGAGUUUACAACUCCCAAACCCCAAUGUGAACGUUACCAAUCUGUUGCCUCGGCGGGAUUCUCUUGCCCCGGGCGCGUCGCAGCCCCGGAUCCCAUGGCGCCCGCCGGAGGACCAACUCCAAACUCUUUUUUUCUCUCCGUCGCGGCUCCCGUCGCGGCUCUGUUUUAUUUUUGCUCUGAGCCUUUCUCGGCGACCCUAGCGGGCGUCUCGAAAAUGAAUCAAAACUUUCAACAACGGAUCUCUUGGUUCUGGCAUCGAUGAAGAACGCAGCGAAAUGCGAUAAGUAAUGUGAAUUGCAGAAUUCAGUGAAUCAUCGAAUCUUUGAACGCACAUUGCGCCCGCCAGUAUUCUGGCGGGCAUGCCUGUCCGAGCGUCAUUUCAACCCUCGAACCCCUCCGGGGGGUCGGCGUUGGGGAUCGGCCCCUCACCGGGCCGCCCCCGAAAUACAGUGGCGGUCUCGCCGCAGCCUCUCCUGCGCAGUAGUUUGCACACUCGCACCGGGAGCGCGGCGCGGCCACAGCCGUAAAACACCCCAAACUUCUGAAAUGUUGACCUCGGAUCAGGUAGGAAUACCCGCUGAACCUAAGCAUAUCA
Molecule: unclassified non-coding RNA, 641 nt
Filed under: Trichoderma longibrachiatum
Lineage: Eukaryota; Fungi; Ascomycota; Sordariomycetes; Hypocreales; Hypocreaceae
Description: sequence contains 18S rRNA gene, ITS1, 5.8S rRNA gene, ITS2, 28S rRNA gene
Rfam family: 5.8S ribosomal RNA (bases 270-423)
Source: RNAcentral